GUCAGAGCGAUUCAGAUCGACAAUCAAUAUGUGCGCCUACAUUGUGUUAGUCCCGUUGCUGAUGUUUAUAAAGUCAAUAUAUACUGGCAAGCAGCAACGUCUAGGAAUAUACGGUAUACAUAUAACAAAAUGAGAAUAUUCACAGACCCUAGUGUGUGCGACAACACUUCAGACUGGUUCCAUUGCUGGGAGAGCAACGUCGGCGAGGGUACCUGCACGGAUACGUAACACUCAAGUGUGCAACGGGCUGGCGGACUGUCCGAAUGGCGAGGAUGAGUCGAUUUUAGAGUGCAAACACGAGCCGAAACUAUCGCAUUACUCGUAUUUCUACUGUGCCACUGGAGCGGCGAUCGAAAUGAAAUAGAAGUGUGACGGAGAAGUCGACUGCAGCGACGGAUCGGAUGAGUUGCGGACGAUGUGUCAGCCUGGAAAAGAAAUUAAUCGUUGAGGAAAUUGUAAAGGGUAGGGAUGAAGUCUUAAAGACAAAAACUGUGCUCUAAGUCGUUCUUCACCGUCAGAAAUUUGUCGUUCGAGUGCCGACCAGGAGAGUGUGUCCGCAAUGGCAGACUCAUAUACACUGAACGGAUCUGCAAUGGCAUCUACGACUGCAUCGAUGGUGCGGAUGAGCUGCCAAAUGUUUGCGAUAAGGAGACAGACACAAAGAAAUGCCAGGAGCCACGAGCACCGCUCUCCUUCACACUAGACACCAAAUAUCAUCGUGGCAUCAAUGGCACAAAAUAUGUUUUGCCUCUCGAAGUGGUGAAGGUGCAGUGUAUACCCACGAAAAGAUUAACUGCCACGAGCUCCGAGUGGAAUGUCUGCGGAGCGAAUGGUAAAUGGGCACAUCAUUGGCCAAAGUGUAAGAAAGCUAGAUAUUAAGCAUAAAGCAUCUUUGGCUGUCAAAAAUCUAAUAUUAAUUGUCUCCAUCAUCAUUCAGGUUAAAACCCCCAUAAAGGCACCCAAACUGAUGACUUUCGAUUAAUCAUUUGCCUUUGGUAUCCUUUUAUUUCCACAUUUUCCCUGCACAUGUGUCAUCUGUGGGAAAAGACAGUCAGACAUUCGCUCCAUUUAUGCAAAGUUCUUUUUUUGUGUGUCCGUGGUGUGGCUGCAGACAGGCAGACAUUUGUAUCUGCGUAUCUGUGUAUCUGUGUAUCUGUGACUAUAACAAGCAACGAAUCGGGCGAGACAUCAAAUUAAUUCACAAAAAUGUACUCUGUUCGGCAUGCAAGGACUCACAAUGCUGGAUUUCAGAGAAAUCCUCAGCAAUUUGUUCAACAAAUGUUGGACUCAAUCACUCAGGAGUAGGG
This 1307-nucleotide long non-coding RNA is filed under the name Drosophila guanche. Lineage: Eukaryota; Metazoa; Arthropoda; Insecta; Diptera; Drosophilidae. The record is from RNAcentral.